GGAUGAUUUCUUCAAACAAAAAUAUAAGUCAAAGGUGCUAAGCACAAAAAUCUUAUGUCAAAAAAUCUGAAAGGUAAGAAUGUGUGUCAUAUUUCUAAUUUCUUCAAUUCUACUGAUAGAGCUUUGUUGUGCUCUAGACAUAGCUAGCUGAUACUACAUCACAACCACCACCCAUUUAAUUAUUCAUUGCUUUAGCUUUCGGUUCACAACCCAAAGGUCCUGCAAGUGCAUUUUGAAAAGCAUCUUUUCACCCUCUGAGAAUAUAACCUUCCUCAAACAUAUUCAAGUAUUGAGUAAGCAGCAAAGGA
This 308-nucleotide long non-coding RNA is filed under the name Trifolium pratense (red clover). RNAcentral describes it as "long non-coding RNA (TPRA_LNC001894)". The record is from RNAcentral. Lineage: Eukaryota; Viridiplantae; Streptophyta; Magnoliopsida; Fabales; Fabaceae.